UAAGGAAUAUUGGUCAAUGGACGGAAGUCUGAACCAGCCAUGCCGCGUGGAGGAUGAAGGUCCUCUGGAUUGUAAACUUCUUUUAUCUGGGGCGAAAAAGGGUCUUUCUAGAUCAACUGACGGUACCAGAUGAAUAAGCACCGGCUAACUCCGUGCCAGCAGCCGCGGUAAUACGGAGGGUGCAAGCGUUAUCCGGAUUCACUGGGUUUAAAGGGAGCGUAGGUGGGCUUGUAAGUCAGUGGUGAAAUCUCCGAGCUUAACUUGGAAACUGCCAUUGAUACUAUAGGUCUUGAAUAUUGUGGAGGUUAGCGGAAUAUGUCAUGUAGCGGUGAAAUGCAUAGAUAUGACAUAGAACACCAAUUGCGAAGGCAGCUGGCUACACAUAUAUUGACACUGAGGCUCGAAAGCGUGGGGAUCAAACA
This 422-nucleotide ribosomal RNA is filed under the name uncultured bacterium. RNAcentral's name for it is "bacterial SSU rRNA". It matches the Rfam family "Bacterial small subunit ribosomal RNA", at positions 355 to 774 of the family's 1533-position model. The record is from RNAcentral.